GGAAGGAGGAGGUGGGCGGAGAGGGGGCGGAGCUGGGGGUGUCGAGAAAUGGAGUGUGUGGGAACGAAGAGGACCGGGCGAGGUUUGGGGUUGGGCGGGCCUGAGGCUCGGGUGAUGCCCGCUCUCGGAACUCGCCAGGGCGAGGCCUGGAGACUCCGAGGUCAUCGGUUCCCACCCCAUCCAGAGAGCAGUCGUCAUGGGGGUCGGCGGUUGAGGUCUGUCCCCUGAUGCUGAGUGCUACGGGAAUAGUGGACCCGCGGAAGCACCGAAAUUGUUCAUCCCUGAAUUUUCGCUUAGUCCUCCCUUCAGUCCUUCCUCCUUUUGUGGAUUGAAAAGGCCACGUGAAGUGCCGGAAUCGAACCUGCGCAGGUCUUUCACAAAGCCUGUAUCUAGGAUCUCUUCAUGGAGAUCCCCCCUUCCCAGGGCUCUUAGAGGGAGCUUCAGAGAAGGAAACCCUCCACGGCCCCACCCCCGUGACUGCUCUCGCCAUGAUCGGCGUUCACCUCCUCCCCAGGCCGCUGACUCUUAAACCCGGUUCUGCAAAAUGCCUCUCACCUCCACUCCUUUCCUUUCAUUCAUUCUUUCUACAAAUAUUUACUGAGCAGGCUUUAUGCUUAGUGCUGGAGACACAGCAAGUGCGAGACAGACGGGCUCUGCUGUCUUGGAGUUUACAGUCUGGUAGGAGAACAAAAGCCAAAUGCAGUUAUGAUUCGGAGACUGCGGUGGUGGCCAGCAGAGCCCAGGGCUGGAAGUCAGGAGCCCGUCCUAGUCCCGAUCCUGUGGACUGACCCCUCGUGUCGCUGUGGAUAAGACCAGGUCACACGUGCCCAACUUCAGCAUAACAGAGCAGAAGUUUUUAAUUUUAAUGAAGUCCAGCUUAUCAAUUCUUUCUUUCAUGGAUCGUGCCUUUGGUAUUGUAUCUAAAAAGUCAUCACCAUACCCAAGGUUUUCUCCUGUUAUCUUCUAGGAGUUUGGGGCUUAGGAGCUGAUGUCUUCUCUAAGAGGUGGAAUGGCAUUUAGCAAGCUCACAGGACUGAUGGGGGAAAUCGGAAUGUCAAUGUAUUCACUGAUAACAAGAAAUAUAAUUGUUAAGCAGACUGGAAUAUUCUCAUCAGCAUGACCAGCACAUUCUUUCCCGAAGGCAGAUCUAAGUGAAAAGACAAAUUAUACAAAGAAGGUGGCUUGCAAUAAUAAGAAUUGAGGCAGGAAAUUAUUUUCACCAUACGAAUAAAGAAACUGAGACUUGAAUAAUUAAAGCCUUGUCCACAAUCACUCAUGAUAAGAGAGGAAGAACUCUCUUGGUUAUUCGAGAACUACUUGCGCUUCCAGGACCGUCUGUCUGUGGGGGGCACAUCCUGGAGUUCAGCUGGACUGAGAAGCCUUCAUCCUCUCAGCUAUGUUUCCUGAAAGCUUGUAACCGUAUAUAACUGGAAAUCUUAGCGAUUUAUGGGGAUUCCGGUUCCAGUGCUGGUGACCAAUAUGCCAAAUCCUAACUGAGAUCUACUCAAUUGAACUGUCACAUCCUGGAGCAGGAAUCUGGCCUCUCCUAGGCUCCUUUCUUUGUUUCCAUUCUGAUUCCUUUGUGAAGGAAAUGGCAGCAAGAAGCCAGUUCCUCUCACUGACCCCAAAGGCAGCAACUCACCACUAGGUGUCUCCGCGGGCACCAUGUGCUGCAGUGGGCGGAUGGAGAGCCCUUCACACACAGGUUGACUUCUUCAUCCUGUCUGGCUGCCAGGAACUGGAGGAAAAUGAGCGAAGGUGGACUUCCUGAGGUCACUCCCAGGGUUUAUUUAACCUCUGGGCUCCCAAAGCUCGGAUCAGCUACAUCAGGAUCACCUGAGGAGCUUCUCAAAAGCAGUGAUGCCAAGGUUUCGCUCCCCGAGUGGUGGAUGUCAACCUUGGCUGCACAUUAGAAUCAGCAGGGAAGCUUGUUUAAAAAAAUGGCAGAGUAGAUGUGUUAUGGAGUGAAUGUUUACGUCCUCCCAAAACUCACGUGUUACCUUACCCCCAUCCAUGCAACGGUAUUAGGAGGUGGGGCCUUUGGGAGGUAAUUAGGAUUAGACGACAUCGUGAGGGUGGAGCCCUCAUGAACGGGCUUAGUGCCCUUAUAAGAGUCACAAGAAAGUGUGCUUCCUUUUUCUGCUCUCUGCCACGUGAGGAUACAAUGAGAAGUCGGCGGUCUGCAAUCUGGAAGAGGGCUUGCACCAGAACCUGACCAUGCUGGCACCCUGAUCUUAAACUUUCCAGCCUCUAGAACUGUGAGAAAUAAAUUUCCGUUGUUUAUAAGUCACUUAGUCCAUGGCGUUUCUGUUGUAGCAGCCUGAACUCUGCUACAACAAGGUGCUCCAAGCUCCUCCAUAGAAACAUUGAAAAGACAAGCAGAGCCUGUCAGAACCAAUUUUGUCAGAACUCUGGAAAACCAUCUAGGUUUACAGCACUCAAGUGAAUGCUGAAUCAAGAAAAAAGCAACUUAAAUGUGGCUGUGUGCAAGCAGGAAGUGCAGUCUAAUGCAGAGCUGUAAAGAGCUGGAUUAAGUGUUGAAGGAGCGCCCAGCACAGAGCCGGUGUGCAAAUACUGGGAGGUGUAUUUUUUUAUGUUUGUUUGUUUUAUUUUUGGUUCCUGAUGUUCAAGGAAAUCUCUGUCAAACCACUAGCUGAACAUGAACUAAAGGAACAGAGACUUCAUAUGACUUCAGUGACUUCAUAUGACGAGGAAUACAGUCUUUGUAAAAUAGUUUGGAAAAAUCACUAAACAAAUGGAUGACUGCAGCCUUCAAUAAUCAAGUUCAGCAAAUGCUGGGGAAGGAGAGAAUCUCAUUUCCAGUUGCCUCAUUAUAAUGUUCACAUGCCCAAUCCUCAGGAAAAAAAAUCACGAGGUGUACAAAGAAACAGGAAAGUAUGGUCCAGUCAAAGAAACAAAAUAAAUUGACAGAAACUAUCCCCGAGGAAGCCCUAACGUUGGACUUGCUAGCCAAAGGCUUUCAAUCAAGUGUCUUAAAUAUGCUCAAAGAACCAAAGGAAAUCACGGACAAAGAGCGAAAACAGAAAAACAAUAUAUGAACAAAAUGAGAAUAUCAACAUCCUAUCAAGAGAUAGUCUAUCAAAAGAGAGAGAAAUGAUAAAAAAGGAACUAAGUAGAAAUUCUGGAGCUGAAAAGUAUAAUAACUGAAAUGAAAAAUCUGAUGCCCAGGCCUCGCUCCAGUCUAAUUACAUGGAAAUUCCCAGGGCUGGGGCUCCACCAUCAGUAGUUUCCAAAGCCGUCAAGGUUGAGAACCACUGUCCCAGGGAGUCUGUUUCAGGAGGUCCAGGGCUGUGAAUCUCAACCAUGCAGGCACAUUCGCAUCACCUGAAGAGCUUUAAAAAAAAUACUGAUGUCUAGAUUCUUUCCCAGAUUGGUGAGAAUCUCUGAGGGGAGGCACUGGGUAUUGGCAUUUUGAACAAUCUUCCCUGACAGUUCUGAUGACCGUCAAGUCUAGAAACCAUGGAGAACCCCACAUUGUCCAACUGUCAUAUCUGCGAAAGCCCGUAGUAAACUGAAGUAUCAUCAAGACCCCCAAUAUCUAAAACAUGUUAAUAACAAUUGUUUAUUCUAAAAUCCGUUGUUGAUUCCAAUUGAGAUUGGAAUCAUUCAUUCAUGCAUGCAUUCAUUUAUAUUAAUAAAAAUAUUUAUUGAGGGCUCUGCUACAUGCCAGGCCCUGGGAAUACAGCAGUGCACAGACACAGCCCCUGCUCUCACAAAGCUUUCAUUCUAGCACAGAAGCCAUAAAUAAACACAAGAUUAUUUAAGUAUGCUAAGCAAUAAGAAAAUUAAAGUGAGACAAAAAGAUAGAGGAGGACGAGAGCUGCGGUUUUGAAUAGAGUGCUCAGGGUGCCCCUGACUAGCUGACAUUUGAGAAGUGGCCUGAACGAAAUGAGGGAGUGAGCGGGGUGCUGGUGGCUAUCUGAGGAAGAGCUGUCGGUUGAACAAAAACAUUUGAAAUCUUGGCUUGAGGAUGACAGUCACAUCCUCACAUUGGCCAGUUUCUUUCUUCUGUUUUGGGUGCCUCUCUCAGCUGAGUCCCAUUAACCUGGCUCCUCUACUCCCACUAGCUGUGUGAAUUUUGGGCAAACCACAUCAUCCCUAAGAGUCGUAAUAUCUUCAUCUGUAAAAUGCACAUAGUAAGCAUAAUAAGACCUCCCUCCCUGUAGGGUUGCUGAGAAGGGAAAACAAAAUAGGGAAGCGUAGUGCGAUGGUUAACAGCAUGGGUGCUGGAGGCAGACAGCCUGCUUCAGAGUCUGGUGCUGCCAUUUUCUAGCCGUAGAACCUUGGGCAAAUUGCUUAGCCUCUCUGAGCCCUUGGCUUGUGUGGCCGGCACAAUAAUGGCUCCCCCAAAAUGUCUAUGUCCUAAUCCCGAACCUGUGAGUAUGCUGGGUUCCAUGGCAAGAGGGAAUAAGGUUGCUAAACAGCUGACUUUAAGAUAGGGGGAGUAGCCUGUGUUUUUCAGGUGAGCCCAAUAUCAUCAUAAGGGCCCUUAAAAGUGCAAGAGGGACGGAGAAGAGGAGAUGCAGAGGGAUGUGCCAACAAAGAAUGGUCGGAGUGAUAUGGUGUGAUAAGGACUUGACUCAUUUUCCUGGCUUUGUAUAUGAAGGAGGCCACAAGCCAAGGAAUGCAGGUGGUCCCUAGAAACUGGAAAAGUCAAGGAAAUGGAUUUUCCCCUAGACCACCAGAAAGGAAUGGGGCCCUGCGGACACCUUGAUUUUAUUUCAAUGAGGCCUGUGUAGGACUUCUCACCUCCAGAACUGUAAGACAACAAAUUUGUAUUGUUUAAGCCUCUAAGUUGGUGGUAAUUUGUUACAGCAGUAAUAAGAAACUAAUACAGCUUGUCAUCUGAAAAGGGACAAAAUAAUAGUAUCUACCACAUAGGUUUGUAGGGAGAGUUAUAUGAAUUCACAGCGGUGCCAGGUACAUGAUAAGUUUUGGGGGUAUAUAGAAUAAUGGACCACAAAAAAUGUCCACAUUCUAAUCUCCAGAACCGUGAAUGUUACCUUUCAUGGCAAAAGGGACUUUGCAGACGUCUAAAAGCUAAAAGUUAAGGAUCUUGAGAUGGGAAGAAUAGCCGGGAUGGUCCGGGUGGGCUCAAUAUGAUCACAGGUCCCAUAAGUGAAAAAGGGAGGCAUGAGAGUUAAAAUCUGGAAGGGAGCUGUGACGAUGAAAGCAGAGGCCAGAGAGAGAGAUCUGGAGAUGCUACGCUGCUGGCUUUGAAGAUGGAGGAAGGGGCCAUGAGCCAAGGAAUGUAGGCAGCCUCUAGAAGCUGGAAAGACAAGGAAACGAUUCUCCCCUGGAGCCUCCAAAAGGAGCAGAGCCCUCUGACACCUUGAUUUUAGGACUUCUGACCUUCAGGACUGUCAGAGAAGACAUUUGUCUUGUUUCAAGGCACUGCAUUUGCGUUAAUGUGUUACAGCAGCGAUAGGAAACUAACACAGAGCUCGAUACAGGUUAGCUCUUGCCAUUAGGUCUGGCCUUCAGCAUUAUGUCAGACACAUGUUAAUGUGCUUGAUAAACACCAAUCACGAUAAUAGUAAAGACUAGAAUUCCCCAGAAGGGCACGCUAGGAUGACUCUACCUUUCUGCUUGACUUUUGGCAUUCUAAGCAUCUGAAAGCACUUUGUUCACAGUUAAAAAAAAAAAAAAUUCUACUUUGUUACACUAUUUAGGCCUAAUUUCACACUUUGGUGAAAGUUAACAAUUUUCUAACAGGGAGAGGCAGUGGUGAAAUGGAACACACCCCAGGGUGGAAGUCAGAAAGGCCGGGUCCUGGUCCCGGCUCUGCCUCUAUCUGGCUGUGCGACUUAGGUUAUCCUGCUUCCCCUCUUUGGGCUUCAUUUUCACAUUUAGAAAACAAAGGAAUUAAACCAAUAAUAACUCCCAUUAUUGGAUACCUACGAGGUACAAUUUAUGCAUAAAGUCUCGUUUGAGCUGCACAGAAAUUGUGCAAAGUAUCAUACCCAUUUUAUAGUUGAGAAAAUCAGGAAGCCCAGAGAGGUUAAGUGACUUGCCCAGGGUCACAGAGUCGGUAUUUGGCAGAGCUGGGGUUUAAACCCAGGGCUGUUUGACUCCUUUUUGACAAGCCCUUCCACAUUUCACACAUUUCGGAAGUCAAUGCCAUCUUUAAAGGAUGUAUUUACAUUGCUCCUGGUUUUCUCUGUAGGUCAUAGUGAGGGUGAUGGAGGGGCUGUGAACAGCCCUAAGACCAUUCCCUGGGCCUCUCUAACUUUCCACAUUAGGGCUCUAGAAAUUGGUGGAUCUCUUGUGUUUCUGAGAACCUCGACUUGGCCCCUCAGAGGCUUCUCUCACGAUGAUCCCUUCCCUUUCUCACCUUCCGCAACAGACGCUACUAAUUGCUUAACCAAUGCCUGUUCUUUCCUUCUUACUCAGAAUCCCAAUUUCAUUUGGAUAAAAAUGUGCCCGGUUAAAAAUGCCUCCCCACGGUCGCUUACAGCUGGAGGUGGUCCCCUGACCCAGUUCUGACCAAUGAGAGUAAGGGGAAAUUUGGAUGGGGCUUCCGGGGAAUCUGUUGUCUUCCUCAUACAAAGGGGUGGGGAACUCAGCCGGCACAUGCCUUUUCCUCUUUGCCUUUGCUUUCAUUUCUGCCUGGAAGGUAGGCGAGAGUUCUGGAAGUGGAACAGCUAUUUUGUGACUAUGAGGAUGAGUGCCACCUGCUAAGGGUAGCGAGCAGGAAGAUAGACGGAGCUUCGAUUCUUUAUGAUUUCUCCGUAAUUUCAGUUCUCUGUACCAGCCUGGACUGCCUGCUUUUAGAUUUCUUGUUAUGUAAAAAAAGUAAUAAAGCUUUAUUUGGUCGGAAUUUUAUGUGCAACUCAAUGCAAUCCUGUGUUCUCUAAGAACAGUCUCUUCUCUGCCCUGUCGCCCUAACGUGUGGCCUUGAUAAGCAC
Equus caballus (horse) is the source of this 6929-nucleotide long non-coding RNA. Lineage: Eukaryota; Metazoa; Chordata; Mammalia; Perissodactyla; Equidae. The record is from Ensembl.